RNAcentral lists this ribosomal RNA (466 nucleotides) under uncultured bacterium. RNAcentral's name for it is "partial 16S ribosomal RNA". It matches the Rfam family "Bacterial small subunit ribosomal RNA", at positions 28 to 507 of the family's 1533-position model. The record is from RNAcentral.
GACGAACGCUGGCGGCGUGCUUAACACAUGCAAGUCGAACGGAAAGGCCCUGCUUUUGUGGGGUGCUCGAGUGGCGAACGGGUGAGUAACACGUGAGUAACCUGCCCUUGACUUUGGGAUAACUUCAGGAAACUGGGGCUAAUACCGGAUAGGAGCUCCUGCUGCAUGGUGGGGGUUGGAAAGUUUCGGCGGUUGGGGAUGGACUCGCGGCUUAUCAGCUUGUUGGUGGGGUAGUGGCUUACCAAGGCUUUGACGGGUAGCCGGCCUGAGAGGGUGACCGGCCACAUUGGGACUGAGAUACGGCCCAGACUCCUACGGGAGGCAGCAGUGGGGAAUAUUGCACAAUGGGCGGAAGCCUGAUGCAGCAACGCCGCGUGCGGGAUGACGGCCUUCGUUGUAAACCGCUUUCGCCUGUGACGAAGCGUGAGUGACGGUAAUGGGUAAAGAAGCACCGGCUAACUACGUG